UAUAACUUGAGACAUCCAUAAGGUAAGCUCGUAAACAACGAUUGAUAGCUAUGACUAUUAAUGUAUCGUUCUUCUCUUCACUAAAUAAACAUACUGACUAGAGGUUACUUAAAUUUAACUUCUAGUCUUUUAUUUUGUAGGCAUACACUAUAAUAGACUUAAGAAAGCAGAGAGAGCGGUUCUUGGAAACACUGUUGUGAUUUCGUCAAAAAAAGUUCUCUGCUUCCUUUUAUGACAUGAGUCAGUUUAUAUCCAAAUAGGCCUUUUGAUUUAUUGAUAGAGCCUGCAUGUAAGACGAAAAUAGAUAGUCAUAAAUCGCGAAGUUAUGCUUUCGAAUAUUCAAGGAAAGAAGGUAUGAUCUAUGAAAGGUCCAAUAGUAUCCAUUGAUGUCUCUAAGGGUAAAUCAGAUUACCAGGCAUUCAAGGAUUUGAAUGUGAAGUAUACAGGUUCACGUUCAAUAAAGCACAACAAAGAAGGAUUUGAUGAGAUAGUGAAUCUUGUCAGGGAGAUGGAAAAGAAGCUAGAAACAGAAGUAUGUGUUGUUUAUGAGGCAACAGGAGUUUACCAUCGUGUCCUUAAGAAAGUGCUUGAAGACAACAAUAUUAAGCAGUUUAUUAUCAAUCCACUAUUAUCAGCUAAAACAAGAAAGAAUGAUUCACUAAGAAGUCCAAAAACAGAUAAGCUUGAUCCCAAAUCAAUUGCUAAAACAUAUUACAGCCAUAGUCUUCAUAACAGCCAUAAACAAGAAACGAUAUAUCACGAACUAAGGGAAUUAUCACGCUAUUAUGAGGAUAUAUUAGUUCAUAUAAGAAAAGAUAAGGUUGCAUUCAGAGCACAGCUGGAUAUCGUAUUUCCAGGCUAUGAUACGCUGUAUGAUGAUCUGUAUGGUCCUGUCGCUUUAGCUAUCAUUGAAAAAUAUCCACAUCCAGAAAUGCUUCAGAAAAAGAAGAUUAACACAGUAUCUAAAGUGAUUCAAAACAAAACAUGUCAUCGUCAGGCAGUGAGUGAUACAAUGGCUGACAAGGCCAUAGAGUACUCUAAAACCAUCUAUUCAGGAUGUGAUAAGGAUGAUAUUGAAGUAUUAAUCCUUCAGAGAUUCAUCAAGAAAUUAAAUGAAGAUAUGGCAGAGGCUGAAAGAACAAUUGGUGAAAUGAUCAAGCUUGCACAGGAACUACCUGACUUUAAUAUAAUCAAAUCCAUACCAGGUAUUGGAGAUAACCUAGCUGCACGCAUUAUUGCAGAACUAGGUGAUAUGACAAGAUUUAAAAAGAAGAAUGAGUUAGUAGCUUUUGCCGGACUGGAUCCAAGAAUUAGCGAAAGUGGACAAAAUGAUGGGGAUCAUAUGCACAUUACUAAAAAAGGCCUAACGCGAGGCCGAAAGGCGUAGUGGAUGGAAAGCAGGCGAAAGAUUCCUGCACCCGUAUAUGGAGCGAAGGAGUGACGGAGACGGAUAGUGUGACCCUCUUAAUGGAUUGAGGGCGAAGCGAAGCGGCUGGUUACCAGGCAAAUCCGGUAACUGAAAGGCUAGAGCGUGACAGGCAAGCGAAAUCUUAGGAAAGUAGCGAAGCACAUGAUGACGGCUUCCAGGAAAAGCUUCUGGCAAUGCAUAUGCGGCCCGUACCAAAACCGACACAGGUGGGCAGGGAGAGAAUCCCGAGGUGAGCGAGAGAACUGUUGCCAAGGAACUCGGCAAAAUGACUCCGUAAGUUAGCGAGAAGGAGUGCUUAAGCAAUUAAGCCGCAGUGAAGAGGCCCAAGCGACUGUUUAACUAAAACACAGCUCUCUGCGAAGUCGCAAGACGAAGUAUAGGGGGUGACACCUGCCCGGUGCUGGAAGGUUAAGAGGAUCUGUUAAGAGCGAUCUGAAGCAGUGAUCCGAAGCCCCAGUGAACGGCGGCCGUAACUAUAACGGUCCUAAGGUAGCGAAAUUCCUUGUCAGGUAAGUUCUGACCCGCACGAAAGGUGUAACGAUUUGGGCGCUGUCUCGGCAGCAGACUCGGUGAAAUCUUAGUACCUGUGAAAAUGCAGGUUACCCGCAACUAGACGGAAAGACCCCAUGGAGCUUUACUGCAGCCUGAUAUUGAAUUCUGGUCAUACAUGUACAGGAUAGGUGGGAGACAAAGAGACGUGCACGCCAGUGUACGAGGAGUCGACGUUGGGAUACCACUCUUGUGUGACCGGGGUUCUAACCUGGUAUCGAGAACAGGUACGGGGAGAGUGUCAGGUGGGCAGUUUGACUGGGGCGGUCGCCUCCCAAAGAGUAACGGAGGCGCCCAAAGGUACGCUCAGAUUGGAUGGAAACCAAUCGACGAGUGCAAUUGCAGAAGCGUGCUUGACUGUGAGACUUACAAGUCGAACAGGGACGAAAGUCGGGAAUAGUGAUCCGGCGGUGCCGAAUGGAAGGGCCGUCGCUCAACGGAUAAAAGCUACCCUGGGGAUAACAGGCUGAUCUCGCCCAAGAGUUCACAUCGACGGCGAGGUUUGGCACCUCGAUGUCGGCUCAUCGCAUCCUGGAGCUGGAUUCGGUUCCAAGGGUUGGGCUGUCCGCCCAUUAAAGCGGUACGCGAGCUGGGUUCAGAACGUCGUGAGACAGUUCGGUCCCUAUCUGUUGUGGGCGAAGGAGAUCUGCGGAGAGCUGUCCUCAGUACGAGAGGACCGGGAUGGACCUACCGCUGGUGCACCGGUUGUUCCGCCAGGGGCAUAGCCGGGUAGCUAAGUAGGGAAAGGAUAAGCGCUGAAAGCAUCUAAGCACGAAGCCUACUCCAAGAUGAGAUCUCCCAUUCGCAAGAAGUAAGACCCCUUAAAGACGAUAAGGUAGAUAGGCCAGGGAUGGAAGUGCAGUGAUGUACGGAGUUGACUGGUACUAAUCGGUCGAGGACUUAAUCAG
Molecule: ribosomal RNA, 2886 nt
Filed under: human gut metagenome
Description: bacterial LSU rRNA
Rfam family: Bacterial large subunit ribosomal RNA (bases 1153-2886)
Source: RNAcentral